UCACUGCGCAUGUGCUUACGUCACUUCCGCUUGGGGGAAGGCCCUGCGACGCUUCCUCCCCCGAGCGUGGAGUGCGCACGCGGCAGUCGGGGAGGUGGUUUGGGGUGACGGAGUCCCGGUCCCGCUGCGCUUGGGUGAAUUUCUUUGUCUUGGUGCGUCGGCCGCGGCGUGCACGCUGCGGAGGAGGUGUGCUGGCGGCGCUCUGAGCCUGUGCGUUUGCGGACGGAGACUUCUGGAAGAAAUGGCAAUAAACGCGGGUGGUUACAGAGGCUUCACUGGAGAGAGUGGCGCCACCAAGCGCCUUUCCUGAGAACUACACUCAGCAUCUCAGCCUCAAACCACCUGAGCUUUGAAUUGUGUUUGUGAGUUAUCUGGACUUUAUCUCAAUUUAUUUUGUGUAUCCGUUGCCACGGUGUGUGGUAAGGUAUCAGAAGAACCGAAAAGGUGGUUUCUGGGGGAUCUGGAUCAGAAAUGUUUCCAUGUACAUGAACAGUAAUCGCUCCUUCAUAGGAAGACUUUUCCGCUUACAGUGGGCAUGCUCUACUUUGGAAGACCAGGGAACCUGUAUGUGGACUGUGCCUCCCUACGAGGAUCCACCAGUCCGGGGCACGUGGGUGAGACUGGAGGGCUGGAGGAGGUAGAAGGGCCUGCUCCUUGCUUGCUGAACAGUGCUGCGAGUGUCACACCAACAGCAAUUCUUUCUGGAAAUUUAAAAAUGGGCAGAGGAUCAGAAGAGACAUUUUUCCAAAGAAGACAUACAGAUGGCCAACAGGUACAUGAAAAGAUGGUCCACAUCAUUAAUCAUCAGGGAAAUACAAAUAAAAACCACAAUGAGGCAUCACCUCACACCUGCUAGAAUGGCUUUGAUCAAAAAGAACAGAACGAGAGCUGGGGUGGAUAUGGAGAAAAGGGAAUCCUGUGCACUGUUGGUGGGAAUGUAAAUUGGUACAGCCCCUAUGGAAAACAGUAUGGAUGUUUCUCAAAGAAUUAAUAGUAGAACGACUGUGUAUAAUCCAGCAAACCUACUUCUGGGUAUUGAUCCAAAGGAAGCAAAAAUACUAACUUGAAGAGAUAUCUGUUUAUAUUCAUAGCAGCAUUGUUUUUAUUUAUUUUUUAUUUUUUCAAUUUUUUUUAGGUUUUAUUUAUUUAUUUGACAGAGAGACAGAAAGAGAUCUCAGGUAGGCAGAGAGGCAAGAGAGAGAGAGAGAGAGAGAAGCAGGCUCCCCACUGAGCAGACAGCCCAAUGGAGGGCUCCAUCCCAGGACCCUGGGAUCAUGACCUGAGCCAAAGGCAGAAGCUUCCCUUUUCUCCAAACUUUAAAUCAGUGUGGUCCCACUUGCUUAUCUUUACCUUUAUUGCCUUUGCUUUUAGUGUCAGAUCCAAAAAAUCAUCACCAAGACCAGUGUCAAGGAGCUUAGUGCCUGGGUUUCCUUUGAGGAGUUUUAUGGUUUCAGAUCUUAAACAUUCAAGUCUUUAAUUCAUUAUGAGUUAACUUUUGUGUAUGGCAUGAGAUAGUGGUCUGGUUUCAUUCUUUUCCAUGUGGUGGUUCCAACUUUGUUUAUUGAAGAGACUGUUAAUUCCCUAUUGCAUAACCUUCACUCCUUUGUCAUACAUUAAUUGGUCAUAUAUGCAUUUCUUUCUUUGUAGGCUCUCUACUCUGUUCCAUUGAUCUAGGUAUCUGGUUUUUUUGUUUUUUUAAGAUUUUAUUUAUUUAUUUGACAGACAGAGAUCACAAGUAGGCAGAGAGUCAGACAGAGAGAGAGGGGGGAAGUAGGCUCCCUGCUGAGCAGAGAGUCCCAUGCGGGGCUCGAUCCCAGGACCCUGAGAUCGUGACCUGAGCCAAAGGCAGAGGCUUAACCCACUGAGCCACCCAGGUGCCCCUAGGUGUCUGUUUUUAUGUCCCACUAUACUUUGUAAGAUAGUUUAAAAUCAGGAUGUAUGAUGCUUCCAGCUUUGUUCUUUCUCAAGAAAUACUGGCUUUUUGGUGUCUCUAAUAAUUCUUUACAUUAAGUUUGCUGUUAAAACAAUGCACAGUGAGGCACCUGGAUGGCUCAAUCAAUUAAGAAUCUGACUCCAUUUCAGCUCAGGUCUUAGUCUGGGGUCAUGAGUUCAAGCCCCUACUUAAAAAAAGAAAGAAAGAAGGAAAGAAGGAGCAAAGGAAGGAAAAGGAGAGGAGAAAAGAGGAAAGAAAAGAAAGAAGACUGUAAAACAUAUAUGGUGACAUCAAUACUUGGUGCUUCCUCUUUGGCUUUGUAUGGCAUGGUUAUCCCCACUCGAAGACCUGUGAGUACAAUAAACUCCCUUGAAGAAGAGCCUCGUCCUCAUUUCUUCCUGUGGCUACACCAACUUUACCAUAUAUCUCCAACAUUUACACUCUCGGAACAAGUAUUAUAAAUUUGAUAAUUUUUCACAAAAUAUACACUUGAUUUAUAUUUAUUGUUAAAACACUAUUAAUGCAUGUUAAUUAUACCUAAAUAAAAACAUAUCAUGCAGAACACUGUUAGACUCUAGUGAAAAUUUAAAACGAAAUAUAAUACGUAUAUCAUACCAUUUCAGUUAAACCAUCACUUUCCUUUUCAAGCCUGCCUUUCUAAUUUUGUUCCAUAUACUUUCCUCUUUGUAAGAUUAACAAGAAAAUAUGAAUGAUCUACACUAAUUACAGUGCUCCGGUAUGUAAAAACACUUCCUUCUAUGUCAUUCUGAGACCUUACGAAGGAAAGGAGUGAUCAGAGAAACAGGAUGGAAACUAGAAGAGAGUCGUGUCCGGAUGCCCAGGAAGGAGAAUAUUUCUAGAAGGAAGCGAUGCGCCAUGUCAAAUGCUAGUGAAAGAUCCAGCAACGAGAGAUCUGAACAUGCUUAUUGGAUUUAGCAACAGGUUUUAAUAAAGUGUUGGCAAACCUUUCAAUCAGUUUGGCUGUGAGAAGGGAAGGAAAAUAAAGUGCUGGAGCUGGAGACACAAUGAGACUAAGAGAUGUGUUUUUUGUGUUUUGUUGUUUUUUUCUUUUUUUUUAGAUAAGAAAAACUUAACAAAUAUUUAAUUUUUAUUUAUUUAUUUCUAAGAUUUUAUUUAUUUAUUUUUGUGAGAAAGAGAGCAUGAGUGGUGGGGGUGGCAGGGCAGAGAGAGAAGCAGACUUCCUGCCAAGCAGGGAGCCUGAUGCGGGCAGCCCAACGCAGGGAGGACUCGAUCCCAGCAUGGUAGGAUUAUGACCUAAGCCAAAGGCAGACAUUUUAACCAACUCAUCUACAUAGGCACCCUGACUUACGAAUGUUUAAAUAAAGAUUGGGGGCAUCUAGUCGAGAGCAAAUACCUAAAUAUCCAGAAGAAGAAAUGAAUCAUUGGUAGAAUAAGGUUUAUAUGAAGGAGAGGAGGAGAUAAGGAUUGGUUUCAAUAGGAGGGACACCAACCACUCCAUUGGCAACAGGAAGAAGAUUGGUCCAGAUGUAGGUGGGUUAUUGUUUUUGUUUUGGGAAGAUGCCUGAGUUUUUCAAUAUAGACACUGACAAAGCAGAUAGCUGGAAUUUUUUUUUUAAGAUUUUAUUUAUUC
Long non-coding RNA from Mustela lutreola (European mink), 3545 nucleotides. RefSeq lists it as uncharacterized. The transcript has 3 exons. The record is from RefSeq and is a predicted model, not a curated record. Lineage: Eukaryota; Metazoa; Chordata; Mammalia; Carnivora; Mustelidae.